CCGUGGUGGUGGCUCUGGGGACACAGUGAUGUCCCCACGGUGGUGGCUUG
Molecule: non-coding RNA, 50 nt
Organism: Chaetura pelagica (chimney swift)
Lineage: Eukaryota; Metazoa; Chordata; Aves; Apodiformes; Apodidae
Source: Rfam